ACUAGAGUGGCGUAGUGGUUUGAGUGUUGGAUUGCAACUCUGGAGACAGGAUUCAAAUCCCUGCUCAGCUA
This 71-nucleotide transfer RNA is filed under the name Phrynosoma platyrhinos (Desert horned lizard). RNAcentral describes it as "tRNA-OTHER". The record is from RNAcentral. Lineage: Eukaryota; Metazoa; Chordata; Lepidosauria; Squamata; Phrynosomatidae.